Long non-coding RNA from Micropterus dolomieu (smallmouth bass), 435 nucleotides. RefSeq lists it as uncharacterized. The record is from RefSeq and is a predicted model, not a curated record. Lineage: Eukaryota; Metazoa; Chordata; Actinopteri; Centrarchiformes; Centrarchidae. The transcript is spliced from 4 exons.
GUUCCUAUUUUAACGUAUAUACAAAGAUAAACGUUGAACGUUACACCUCCUGGAAACGCUUCGGGCUAUGACUUCAAGGCGACUUUAAACUCCCCCACAUUCAAAAUAUAUCAACUUUCAUUUGGCUCUUGCUCGGCUCAGUAGUUUAGCAGGCUAGCACGGAGAGACGAGGGCUGCUCCCUUUCGCCUCUGCUCAGUCUGCCCAGCACACCAACACCAUACAUUCCGCACCAUGGCUGCCACGGACGUUGACGUGUUUUCGAAUGAAGAGAAGCGUAGCCUGGGUUUGGGCGGACAUGUUGGAUUUGACAGCCUCCCUGACCAACUGGUCAGUAAAUCGGUCACACAGGGAUUUUGUUUUAACAUUCUCUGUGUAGGGGAGACUGGUAUCGGCAAGUCAACGUUAAUGAACACUCUCUUCAACACCAUGUUUGA